Molecule: long non-coding RNA, 1192 nt
Organism: Lethenteron reissneri (Far Eastern brook lamprey)
Lineage: Eukaryota; Metazoa; Chordata; Hyperoartia; Petromyzontiformes; Petromyzontidae
Source: RefSeq, a predicted model, not a curated record
CCGGGGGCAGUGGGGAGCGUGCGGUGCCUUGCAACACGCGUGGCCGUUGUUUCUGGCCACGAGUGCCUUGUGCCUCCGAUUACCACGGUUGGCUACGUACGGUGCAAAAUAAGUUAACUGUGCAGGGUGGUCCAGAUGUCUUGUGAUCCCCAUUUAAUUCACUAAAAAAAAUUUAAGUCAACUUUCUUUCAAACGGAAAUACAUAUGCAAAGGAAAAAACAAUUAGGGGAAAUCUUGAAUUAAAGCUGUCGUGACUGCAGGAAUUAAUAUUCUUUGGGGCUUUCGGUAAAGUCACGUGGAUAGGUUAAAAGAAAAUAACCAAAAACUACGUUUCGAUCGCAACACAAGCGUUCGUCGCCACACAAGCGAUCGAAACGUCGAUCGCUUGUGUUGCGACAAUCCAAAUUUCCUUUGCUUUUUUGAGCCACCCUGUAAUUGUACAACUUGACCUAAGUAAAUUUUUGACCUAAGUAAAUUUUUUACUUACCAUUUUGAGGUUCGGUUCUAGGAGUAAUGGCUUCCAUCUGACGAUAGCCAUUUUGAGCAUAACUUCUCGUUGGCUUCGUGAAAUGUGAUUUGCCAGCAAUGGAAAAGUCUCUCUCUCCUUGACUCGCCUUCCCUUCAGCCACAUCCCAAUCACGUGGUCCCCCGCUUGCUCACCCCUGGUGCCGCUCUCCCCUUGCUCCCCCUCAAGCGUGCCGCCACCCUUCCACCGCGCACGACUUGCGGUGUAAGCCGCCCUGCCCACGCCUCAGUCCAAGUUUUCACCGCUGGUGUUUUCACUGGGUUCAGUUCCCGUAAAAAAUCCACCCACGCUGUGUUAAACAGUCCCUCGUCGUCGUUGUCGUCAUAGUGCGGUGCUCAUCUUAGGUGAAACCACGCCGUGCAGGGUCACACCAAUUGGCUCCACAGACUUUGGAAGAAUGGGGACCCUGGCCUUCGUUGUAGUGCUUCUUGGUGCCCUGUCCACAGGGAAAAGCAUCGAGUCGGAAAUCAUCGCCACCACCGUGGGCUCCUCCGUCAUGAUGCCCUGUGGCUCCACCAUUGACAGGCGGCGCGGCAGCUCAACGAGGGCCCUCCCACACCAAACCCACCGAUGGGACACCCCGGCGGGCAGUGACUUACCCCCCAAAUUGAGACGCACUGUGCGACGUGGGCAAAAAGAAGGGAGGGAAGGAGGGGGGGUGACAAU